GGCAGGUACAGCGGGAAGCCACCUGACGACAGGGAGCGGAACCCGAAAGCCUGUCUCAGUUCGGAUUGGAGUCUGCAACCCGACUCCAUGAAGCUGGAUUCGCUAGUAAUCGCGCAUCAGCCACGGCGCGGUGAAUACGUUCCCGGGCCUUGUACACACCGCCCGUCAAGCCAUGGAAGCCGGGGGUGCCUGAAGUGCGCUGCCGCAAGGAGCGCCCUAGGGUAAAACCGGUGACUGGGGCUAAGUCGUAACAAGGUAUC
RNAcentral lists this ribosomal RNA (260 nucleotides) under uncultured bacterium. Its description in RNAcentral is "partial 16S ribosomal RNA". It matches the Rfam family "Bacterial small subunit ribosomal RNA", at positions 1232 to 1500 of the family's 1533-position model. The record is from RNAcentral.